AGCAGCCGCGGUAAUUCCAGCUCCAAUAGCGUAUAUUAAAGUUGUUGCAGUUAAAAAGCUCGUAGUUGAAUUUCGGGGUUAGUAGGUUGGUCAUGCCUCUGGUAUGUACUGGUCUCACUGAUUCCUCCUUCCUGAUGAGCCGUAAUGCCAUUAAUUUGGUGUUGCAGGGAAUCUGGACUGUUACUUUGAAAAAAUUAGAGUGUUUAAAGCAGGCUAACGCUUGAAUACAUUAGCAUGGAAUAAUGAAAUAGGACGUUCGAUCCUAUUUUGUUGGUUUCUAGGAUUGACGUAAUGAUUAAUAGGGAUAGUUGGGGGCAUUAGUAUUCAAUUGUCAGAGGUGAAAUUCUUGGAUUUAUUGAAGACUAACUACUGCGAAAGCAUUUGCCAAGGAUGUUUUCAUUAAUCAAGAACGAAAGUUAGGGGAUCGAAGACGAUCAGAUACCGUCGUAG
RNAcentral lists this ribosomal RNA (450 nucleotides) under uncultured Glomeromycotina. Its description in RNAcentral is "SSU rRNA". It matches the Rfam family "Eukaryotic small subunit ribosomal RNA", at positions 569 to 1023 of the family's 1831-position model. Lineage: Eukaryota; Fungi; Glomeromycota. The record is from RNAcentral.